Sorex araneus (European shrew) is the source of this 107-nucleotide small nuclear RNA. The record is from Ensembl. Lineage: Eukaryota; Metazoa; Chordata; Mammalia; Eulipotyphla; Soricidae.
GUGCUCACUUUGGCAACACACGUAAUAAAAUUGGAAAGAUACAGAGAAGAUUAGCGUGGCCCGUACAUGAGAAUGACAUGCAAAUUCAUGGAGUGCUCCAUAUUUUU